This 449-nucleotide ribosomal RNA is filed under the name Leucocoprinus gongylophorus. RNAcentral's name for it is "eukaryotic LSU rRNA". It matches the Rfam family "Eukaryotic large subunit ribosomal RNA", at positions 1 to 441 of the family's 3401-position model. The record is from RNAcentral. Lineage: Eukaryota; Fungi; Basidiomycota; Agaricomycetes; Agaricales; Agaricaceae.
UUGACCUCAAAUCAGGUGGGACUACCCGCUGAACUUAGGCAUAUCAAUAAGCGGAGGAAAAGAAACUAACAAGGAUUCCCUUAGUAACUGCGAGUGAAGUGGGAAGAGCUCAAAUUUGAAAUCUGGCAGUCUCUGGCUGUCCGAGUUGUAAUCUAGAGAAGUGUUGCCCGCGCUGGACCGUGUACAAGUCUCCUGGGAUGGAGCGUCAUAGAGGGUGAGAAUCCCGUCUCUGACAUGGACUACCAGGGCUUUUGUGGUGCGCUCUCAAAGAGUCGAGUUGUUUGGGAAUGCAGCUCAAAAUGGGUGGUAAAUUCCGUCUAAAGCUAAAUAUUGGCGAGAGACCGAUAGUGAACAAGUACCGUGAGGGAAAGAUGAAAAGAACUUUGGAAAGAGAGUUAAACAGUACGUGAAAUUGCUGAAAGGGAAACGCUUGAAGUCAGUCGCGUUGG